ACUGGACUUGGAGGCAGAAAGGGAGCCAGCUGACUGAGAGAUCUGACCUUCAGCAGAGG
This 59-nucleotide microRNA precursor is filed under the name Pteropus alecto (black flying fox). RNAcentral describes it as "microRNA pal-mir-378c precursor". Its record names the gene pal-mir-378c. The record is from miRBase by way of RNAcentral. Lineage: Eukaryota; Metazoa; Chordata; Mammalia; Chiroptera; Pteropodidae.